UAAAGGUUUGGUCCUGGCCUUACUAUCAUUUUCAGCUAAAAUUACACAUGCAAGUAUCCGCAACCCCGUGAGAAUGCCCUUAGUUGCCCUACCAGGCAAAAAGGAGCAGGCAUCAGGCUCACUUUAUAGCACAACCCAAAACGCCUUGCUCAGCCACACCCCCACGGGAACCAGCAGUGAUUAACAUUGAGCAAUAAGCGAAAGCUUGACUCAGCCAUAGCCUUCCGGGCCGGUAAACCUCGUGCCAGCCACCGCGGUUAUACGAAGGACCCGAAUUGAUAGUCUACGGCGUAAAGCGUGAUUAGAUAAGACUAAAAAAUUAGAGUUAAAACCCCAUCCAGCCGUCAUACGCAUCCAUGGGCCAUAAAAUACAGCUAGACUCUAAACAACUAGACUACUUGAAUUCACGAAAGCUAAGAUACAAACUGGGAUUAGAUACCCCACUAUGCUCAGCCAUAAACUUUGACAAGUACGUACAAAGCUUGUCCGCCAGGGUACUACGAGCGCCAGCUUAAAACCCAAAGGACUUGGCGGUGCCUCACACCCACCUAGAGGAGCCUGUUCUAGAACCGAUAAUCCACGUUAAACCUCACCGCUUCUUGCCACUACCGUCUAUAUACCACCGUCGCCAGCUUACCCCGUGAGGGUGAAAAAGUAAGCACAAUUGGUACAACCAAAAACGUCAGGUCGAGGUGUAGCGAAUGAAGCGGAAAGAAAUGGGCUACAUUUUCUAUAAAAGAAUAUACGAAAGACCUAAUGAAACAAAGUCAGAAGGUGGAUUUAGCAGUAAGAAAAACCAAGAAUAUUUUUCUGAAAUUGGCCAUGAGGCGCGCACACACCGCCCGUCACUCUCCUCAAUAACAAUCUAAACAGUAAAUAACUAAACAUAAUUAAAAUAAGAGGAGGCAAGUCGUAACAUGGUAAGCGUACCGGAAGGUGCGCUUGGAAUAAU
This 952-nucleotide non-coding RNA is filed under the name Neoceratodus forsteri (Australian lungfish). RNAcentral's name for it is "12S ribosomal RNA". It matches the Rfam family "Bacterial small subunit ribosomal RNA". The record is from RNAcentral. Lineage: Eukaryota; Metazoa; Chordata; Ceratodontiformes; Ceratodontidae.